Molecule: long non-coding RNA, 1175 nt
Filed under: Homo sapiens (human)
Lineage: Eukaryota; Metazoa; Chordata; Mammalia; Primates; Hominidae
Description: HSALNT0222756
Source: RNAcentral
UCACUGUCGCCUUGAACUCCUGGGCUCCAGGGAUUCUCCUGCAUCAGCCUCCCAAGUAGGUGGGACCACAGACACACACCACCACAGCUGGCUAAUUUUUUAAAAACUUUUUGUAGAGACUGUGGGUGGGACAGGUGGUCUCACCAUCUUGUCUAGACUGGUCUUGAACUACUGGGCCCAAUAGAUCCUCCCACCUCAGCUUCCCAAAGUAUUGGAAUUACAGGUGUGAGCCACUGUGUCUACUGUAUACGGGCUUUUUAUUAUUCCUGUUUCUGUUGUUGAUACUCUUGCCUUUAGUAAACUCCUCCUAUACAACAAUUACUUAUCCACAGUUAGCCCACAGUCUAGCCAGAUUCAGUUGCUGGGUUGCACUCACUUCCCUUUAGGUUGUAUAAUUCUUUUGGGUAGUAAUCCCCUCAAGUGAUAUCAAUGACUUCAUAAUGAAUGAAGUUAUUAUGAACUCUUAACAUAAUUACUGAUAAUCACCAUCACAAACCUUAUAUUUCUAAGCCACCAAUACCAAUAUUGUCAUGCCUAAAGUAGGACAUUUUUGCUUACACAGAAAUCAAACUAAAGGGCCUAAGGUGGGGACCAGUUCGUGUGUUCAAAUUUUUGUAGCACUGACAGCCCAGGGGAAGAAUCACUGGUAUGGUUUAUCUUAAAAAAUGCAUAACCUGUACAACUCUUACCACAAAGGCAUACCAAAGCAUUAUUUUCAGAUAUUUUAAGUUAGUUUUAAAGUGAAGUAGACUCAGAUUCAUUAUCUUUGCCAGGAUCCAUAAUGAGAGUUCUGGAUUUUCCUGGCCUGAACCCAGUUCCUAGGUGACUCCUAAUGAGUGGUACUUGCUUUGUGGAAUAAAGAACUCCUGGUUACUCCCUGAAAAUUGGUGAUAUGUUUCUAUUUAUGGCAACUGAUUCCUGUAUUAAGAAUCAUUCAUGGCCGAGCACGGUGGCACAUGCCUGUAAUUUCAGCACUUUGGGAGACCAAGGCAGACAGAUUGCUUGAGGCCAGGAGUUUGAGACCAGCCUGGGCAACAUGGCGAGACUCCAUCUCUACUAAAAAUGUAAAAAUUAGCUGGGCAUGGUGGUGCCUGUGGUCCCAGCUACUUGAGAAGCUGAGGCUGGAGAAUCACUUGAACCCAGGAGGCUGGGGUUGCAGUGAGCCAAGAUCACAC